This 253-nucleotide ribosomal RNA is filed under the name uncultured bacterium. RNAcentral describes it as "partial 16S ribosomal RNA". It matches the Rfam family "Bacterial small subunit ribosomal RNA", at positions 524 to 776 of the family's 1533-position model. The record is from RNAcentral.
UACAGGGGGGGCAAGCGUUGUUCGGAAUUACUGGGCGUAAAGGGCUUGUAGGUGGCCAACUAAGUCACACGUGAAAUCCCCAGGCUUAACCUGGGAACUGCGUGUGAUACUGGAUGGCUUGAAUCCGGGAGAGGGAUGCGGAAUUCCAGGUGUAGCGGUGAAAUGCGUAGAUAUCUGGAGGAACACCGGCGGCGAAGGCGGCAUCCUGGACCGGUAUUGACACUGAAAAGCGAAAGCCAGGGGAGCAAACGGG